AGAGUUUGAUCAUGGCUCAGAACGAACGCUGGCGGCGUGCCUAACACAUGCAAGUCGAACGCGAAAAGGGGGCAACCCCUGAGUAGAGUGGCGCACGGGUGAGUAACACGUGGGUAACCUACCUAAGAGAUUGGGAUAACCAGGGGAAACUCUGGCUAAUACCGGAUACGUCUCGAGUGACCUCGGUCGCUCGAGAGAAAGGGCGGCCUCUGCUUGCAAGCUGUCGCUCUUGGAUGGGCCCGCGGCCCAUUAGCUAGUUGGUGAGGUAACGGCUCACCAAGGCAAUGAUGGGUAGCUGGUCUGAGAGGAUGAUCAGCCACACUGGGACUGGAACACGGCCCAGACUCCUACGGGAGGCAGCAGUGGGGAAUUUUGCGCAAUGGGGGAAACCCUGACGCAGCAACGCCGCGUGGGUGAUGAAGGCCCUCGGGUCGUAAAGCCCUGUCGGGUGGGAAGAAUCCCUCGACGGUGAAUAAUCGGCGAGGAUGACGGUACCACUAGAGGAAGCACCGGCUAACUCUGUGCCAGCAGCCGCGGUAAUACAGAGGGUGCAAGCGUUGUUCGGAAUCACUGGGCGUAAGGCGCGUGUAGGCGGCUGGUUGUGUCGAAUGUGAAAGCCCUCGGCUUAACCGAGGAAGUGCGUUCGAAACUGACUAGCUUGAGUACCGGAGAGGAAGGUGGAAUUCCCGGUGUAGAGGUGAAAUUCGUAGAUAUCGGGAGGAACACCAGUGGCGAAAGCGACCUUCUGGACGGAUACUGACGCUGAGACGCGAAAGCGUGGGGAGCAAACAGGAUUAGAUACCCUAGUAGUCC
This 813-nucleotide ribosomal RNA is filed under the name uncultured bacterium. Its description in RNAcentral is "bacterial SSU rRNA". It matches the Rfam family "Bacterial small subunit ribosomal RNA", at positions 8 to 796 of the family's 1533-position model. The record is from RNAcentral.